RNAcentral lists this small nuclear RNA (47 nucleotides) under Trichoplax adhaerens. The record is from RNAcentral. Lineage: Eukaryota; Metazoa; Placozoa; Uniplacotomia; Trichoplacea; Trichoplacidae.
ACACACAAAUGGUUAAGGCUUUGCCACCUACUUUGUGGCAUCUGACC